Molecule: long non-coding RNA, 229 nt
Organism: Mauremys mutica (yellowpond turtle)
Lineage: Eukaryota; Metazoa; Chordata; Testudines; Geoemydidae
Exons: 3
Source: RefSeq, a predicted model, not a curated record
AUUAUGGGUCAGGUCAGAUGCUACACUGGAAGGGAACUAUUUUCUGUAGCAUCCAUGGAGCAUUUUCCAAAUUGAAGAAGGCAUGAGCCCUGGCCCCAAAAGUUCACAAUCUAUGGACUGAGAGUUUUACAGUGUGAGAGGAGAUUCAGGCCAAGGAAGUUGAAGGACUUGGUCUAUUUGCAGCACAACCCCCCUGAAAGUGGGCAGAGAAGUCAAUACCUAGCAAAGG